CCUGACAAAAACUUCCGGAAGACCAAAUUUAUCAAACAAACAAUAACAAACAGUUAAUAACAAUUCAAUCUUAGUAAAUCAUGAGAACAAAUUCAAAAAUUAUCAAAGAAUAAUAUCAUAUAAAAGGGGAUGAUGAAGACAUUCUUUAUCCGAACAUCAGAACAUGACCCGGUUCAACAAAUCAGCACAGGCACUGUGCAGAUAGAGAUACUUGACAGAUGGUAUGCUACUAAGAGAAGUCAUGACUAAUCCCCUUCUGGAAAAAUACAAAGUGAUUUUUUUUGAUGCGGCUCUUGAAAGAACUUUGGCUCCCGAUAUUUCAGUACCAUAGUGGCUGAUGAAAACAUGCUUACUGAAUGAAAUGGAGUGGAGCUUCCGGUUAAGAAUUAUGGUACAAGACAAGGGCUUAAUGUUUGUUCCAGGAAAUGGAUCUUGAUUACCAUGUUGGAUGUAGCCUUGAAGAUUGAAGAUAAUAGAGAAUAUAAAUUGUAGGAAUGGAUGUGCUUUGUAGUUUAGAGAUCUGCAGUUUUAAUGUCCACAUGCAAUUUUCAGUGAUUUCUACAACCUUCAUGGAUUAAUUCUAAGUUCAUGCCGAAGGGCCAAGAAAAAGAAAGCCAAGCAAAGAUCAAAUGCUAAAUGACAAUGAUGGACUCAAUGACUGAUGAUGACAUUAAGUUGAAGAUAUGAUAUCAAAAGGUAUGUUACAAAUGAAGAAAGGAUGAUGGAGAUGGCCAAGAAGAAGAAAGGACUGUGAGCCAUGCUUUUCUUUUUCAGAAAGGACUGCCCAAUUAAACACAUGUAUGCGAUCUGGUGGGCUAUUAAUGAGAACAACUUCUGCUGAUCAGUUUGUUGAUUUCAUUCAGAACCUUGACAUCAACUCAAAAAUGAACAACACUAUUAAAGCUUUUGGUCGAUGGUAGGGGUUGCAAAACCAUAGAAAGUCAAUGUUCUGAAAGUUCAUUAUGGUCAAUGAAGCUUAUACGAUUCACAUUUUAACUCUAGAAAUCUGAAUAUUUAUUAAUUUAUUUUUACUGUAACCCUGUAGUUUGAUAGCUUUAUACUUUGUUUUUUGAAGUUACAGAAUCACCAACCUCGAUCACUUAUUGAA
Molecule: long non-coding RNA, 1108 nt
Organism: Erigeron canadensis
Lineage: Eukaryota; Viridiplantae; Streptophyta; Magnoliopsida; Asterales; Asteraceae
Exons: 6
Source: RefSeq, a predicted model, not a curated record